This 400-nucleotide ribosomal RNA is filed under the name uncultured bacterium. RNAcentral describes it as "bacterial SSU rRNA". It matches the Rfam family "Bacterial small subunit ribosomal RNA", at positions 355 to 769 of the family's 1533-position model. The record is from RNAcentral.
UCGAGAAUAUUCGGCAAUGGGCGAAAGCCUGACCGAGCGACGCCGCGUGCAGGAUGAAGGCCUUCGGGUUGUAAACUGCUUUUCUAUGGGAACAAAUUAUUGAGCGUACCAUAGGAAUAAGAGGUUACUAACUCUGUGCCAGCAGUAGCGGUAAUACAGAGACCUCAAGCGUUAUCCGGAUUUAUUGGGCGUAAAGCGCGGGUAGGUGGAUAUGUUAGUCAGAUGUCAAAUUUUUGGGCUCAACCCGAAAACUGCAUUUGAAACGGCAUAUCUAGAGAAAGUAAGAGAUCAGUGGAACUCAUGGUGUAGUAGUGAAAUGCGUUGAUAUCAUGAGGAACACCAAAGGCGAAGGCAUCUGAUUGGUACUUUUCUGACACUGAGCCGCGAAAGCGUGGGUAGC